GCUUCAGUAGCUCAGUUGGUUAGAGCACCUGACUGUUAAUCAGGGGGUCGUUGGUUCAAGCCCAUCCUGAAGCGC
This 75-nucleotide transfer RNA is filed under the name Xylanibacter ruminicola. RNAcentral's name for it is "Prevotella ruminicola tRNA-Asn". It matches the Rfam family "tRNA". Rfam says of the family: Transfer RNA (tRNA) molecules are approximately 80 nucleotides in length. The record is from RNAcentral. RNAcentral also lists the same sequence under 4 other names. Lineage: Bacteria; Pseudomonadati; Bacteroidota; Bacteroidia; Bacteroidales; Prevotellaceae.